This 46-nucleotide non-coding RNA is filed under the name Schistosoma mansoni. Lineage: Eukaryota; Metazoa; Platyhelminthes; Trematoda; Strigeidida; Schistosomatidae. The record is from RNAcentral.
GCACUGUUGAUGAGUCGCACAAUAAGACGAAACGGCAGUCCAGUGC